Molecule: ribosomal RNA, 446 nt
Filed under: uncultured bacterium
Lineage: Bacteria
Description: bacterial SSU rRNA
Rfam family: Bacterial small subunit ribosomal RNA
Source: RNAcentral
CCCAGACUCCUACGGGAGGCAGCAGUGGGGAAUAUUGCACAAUGGGGGAAACCCUGAUGCAGCGACGCCGCGUGAGUGAAGAAGUAUUUCGGUAUGUAAAGCUCUAUCAGCAGGGAAGAAAAUGACGGUACCUGAUUAAGAAGCCCCGGCUAACUACGUGCCAGCAGCCGCGGUAAUACGUAGGGGGCAAGCGUUAUCCGGAUUUACUGGGUGUAAAGGGAGCGUAGACGGUGAUGCAAGUCAGAAGUGAAAGCCCGGGGCUCAACUCCGGGACUGCUUUUGAAACUGUGUGACUGGAGUGCAGGAGAGGUAAGCGGAAUUCCUGGUGUAGCGGUGAAAUGCGUAGAUAUCAGGAGGAACACCAGUGGCGAAGGCGGCUUACUGGACUGUAACUGACGUUGAGGCUCGAAAGCGUGGGGAGCAAACAGGAUUAGAUACCCGCGUAA